Molecule: ribosomal RNA, 460 nt
Filed under: uncultured bacterium
Lineage: Bacteria
Description: partial 16S ribosomal RNA
Rfam family: Bacterial small subunit ribosomal RNA
Source: RNAcentral
CCUACGGGUGGCAGCAGUGAGGAAUAUUGGUCAAUGGACGAAAGUCUGAACCAGCCAUGCCGCGUGCAGGAUGACGGCUCUAUGAGUUGUAAACUUCUUUUGUAGGAGGGUAAACACCCCGACGCGUAGGGGCUUGAGAGUAUAAUACGAAUAAGGAUCGGCUAACUCCGUGCCAGCAGCCGCGGUAAUACGGAGGAUCCAAGCGUUAUCCGGAUUUAUUGGGUUUAAAGGGUGCGUAGGCGGUUUGAUAAGUUAGCGGUGAAAUACCGGUGCUCAACACCGGAACUGCCUUUAAAACUGUUGAACUAGAGAGUAGUUGCGGUAGGCGGAAUGUGUGGUGUAGCGGUGAAAUGCUUAGAGAUCAUACAGAACACCGAUUGCGAAGGCAGCUUACCAAACUCUAUCUGACGUUGAGGCACGAAAGCGUGGGUAGCGAACAGGAUUAGAUACCCGUGUAGUC